RNAcentral lists this long non-coding RNA (799 nucleotides) under Gallus gallus (chicken). RNAcentral's name for it is "long non-coding RNA NONGGAT008106". The record is from RNAcentral. Lineage: Eukaryota; Metazoa; Chordata; Aves; Galliformes; Phasianidae.
GCGGGCUCGAACGGAAGCCGUUUUGGGUCCUGUCAGGUCCACACGAAUAGCCACACUGGUAAUUGCUCCCACCUGCCUGCCCAGUGGGUCACUGCUUUCAACCGCACAUCAUGGGGACAGGGGAUCCUGGCUCUGACCAGAGACGUGGCAAGGGAGAGCGGGGGGAGAAACGGCAGGACAACCGAGCCUGGUCACAGCCGAGUGGAUGGCAUUCCUCUCAUUCCCAAAGCCCCAGAAGCUGGUUCUGGAAGUUGUAACGCAGCUUACGGAAAAGCGAUUCUGUUUUGCAACACUUGUUUUGGAGGCUGGCACGGAGCGGUGCUGCAGUUAGCAGGGAAGAAUGUUACUAACACCCAGUAAAGUUAUUUUAUUGACAACGCAGUAACAAAAUGCAGCCUUCAGAAACUUCUUAACACCAAUGUAGCAUGAAGAGGCAGGCACUCCGACCGGGAACCACCGGAUGCACGGCGGAUAGCUCCACCUAUCGUUCAUGCCUUGCUUUCAGACUGCAGCUAUACGCGCAUUCUGAAGCGGUCCAGGUGCAACAAUCGUAUUGUUUCCCAUAAGCUCUUUGCAUACUUCUCCACCCCUCUGCGCUUGUGCGUUAGGUGUCCUGAGUCUCUCUUGCUGGUCCCAAGGACCCCUUUCAAUAGUCUUCCUUAGCUGCCCUUUGGUAACCUCUCCCCUCAAGCACAUGCAUCGCCCAGUUGGCAGGGAUGACUUGUUUUUGUCUUACUUCUGCCUCGUAGCUCUUGACCACAACGUUCUUGUAUCUUAAUGACAUGUCUGGAUGUCCCAC